This 81-nucleotide transfer RNA is filed under the name Thiohalorhabdus denitrificans. It matches the Rfam family "tRNA". From Rfam's summary of the family: Transfer RNA (tRNA) molecules are approximately 80 nucleotides in length. Their secondary structure includes four short double-helical elements and three loops (D, anti-codon, and T loops). The record is from Rfam by way of RNAcentral. Lineage: Bacteria; Pseudomonadati; Pseudomonadota; Gammaproteobacteria; Thiohalorhabdales; Thiohalorhabdaceae.
GGGACGGUGGCGGAACUGGUAGACGCGCUGGAUUUAGGAUCCAGUACCUACGGUGUGCGGGUUCGAGUCCCGCCCGUCCCA